GAUGAACGCUGGCGGCGUGCCUAACACAUGCAAGUCGAGCGAUUUACUUCGGUAAAGAGCGGCGGACGGGUGAGUAACGCGUGGGUAACCUGCCCUGUACACACGGAUAACAUACCGAAAGGUAUGCUAAUACGAGAUAAUAUACUUUUAUCGCAUGGUAGAAGUAUCAAAGCUCCGGCGGUACAGGAUGGACCCGCGUCUGAUUAGCUAGUUGGUAAGGUAACGGCUUACCAAGGCGACGAUCAGUAGCCGACCUGAGAGGGUGAUCGGCCACAUUGGAACUGAGACACGGUCCAAACUCCUACGGGAGGCAGCAGUGGGGAAUAUUGCACAAUGGGCGAAAGCCUGAUGCAGCAACGCCGCGUGAGCGAUGAAGGCCUUCGGUCGUAAAGCUCUGUCCUCAAGGAAGAUAAUGACGGUACUUGAGGAGGAAGCCCCGGCGUAACUACGUG
This 452-nucleotide ribosomal RNA is filed under the name uncultured bacterium. Its description in RNAcentral is "bacterial SSU rRNA". It matches the Rfam family "Bacterial small subunit ribosomal RNA", at positions 28 to 507 of the family's 1533-position model. The record is from RNAcentral.